This 24-nucleotide non-coding RNA is filed under the name Arabidopsis thaliana (thale cress). The record is from RNAcentral. Lineage: Eukaryota; Viridiplantae; Streptophyta; Magnoliopsida; Brassicales; Brassicaceae.
GGGUCAAAAUUCAUGGGCCAACUC